This 722-nucleotide ribosomal RNA is filed under the name Scopalina blanensis. Its description in RNAcentral is "eukaryotic LSU rRNA". It matches the Rfam family "Eukaryotic large subunit ribosomal RNA", at positions 73 to 928 of the family's 3401-position model. The record is from RNAcentral. Lineage: Eukaryota; Metazoa; Porifera; Demospongiae; Bubarida; Dictyonellidae.
AUUCCCCCAGAUAACGGCGAGCGAAGCGGGAAUAGCUCGAGCAUGAAAUCUCGGCAGCUAUGCCGGCGAAUUGUGGCCGAGAGUGGCAGCUUGGUUCUGGUUCCGAUGCCGAAGUUUGCCUGGAAAGGCACGUCAGAGAGGGCGAGAACCCCGUGCGUGGCUGAGGACGCCAGGACCGCCAACUGCACACGGAGAGUCGGGUUGUUUGGGAAUGCAGCCCAAAGUUGGUGGUAAACUCCAUCUAAAGCUAAAUACCGGCACGAGACCGAUAGCAAACAAGUACCGUGAGGGAAAGGUGAAAAGUACUUUGAAAAGAGAGUCAAAGAGAACGCGAAACCGUUAGGAGGGAAAUGAGUGCAGCGGAGGACUUCUCUACUUGCGUGGGCUGAGUGGUGUUGGUGUUGGCCCGCUAGCUGAUGUUGCGCAUGCUGCACGUUUUUGAGUGCUCUGCGAUAGGUGCAAUACUUGGUCAUCUGACCCGUCUUGAAACACGGACCAAGGAGUCUAACAUGGCGCGAGUCAUUGAGUUACAAACGGCAGAGUGAAAGUAAAGGCUAUGUAUGGCUAGGGGGAUCGGGUCAGCGCACUCCAUAAGGGCACGAGCAGCUGGGACCCGAAAGAUGGUGAACUAUGCUUGCAGGUGAAGCCAGAGGAAACUCUGGUGGAGCUCGCAGCGUUUCUGACGUGCAAAUCGAUCGUCAAACGAGGGUAUAGGGGCGGAA